This 90-nucleotide transfer RNA is filed under the name Bacteroidota bacterium. RNAcentral describes it as "Bacteroidetes bacterium tRNA-Ser". It matches the Rfam family "tRNA". Rfam says of the family: Transfer RNA (tRNA) molecules are approximately 80 nucleotides in length. Their secondary structure includes four short double-helical elements and three loops (D, anti-codon, and T loops). Lineage: Bacteria; Pseudomonadati; Bacteroidota. The record is from RNAcentral. RNAcentral also lists the same sequence under 1 other name.
GGAGGGGUGGCAGAGCCUGGUUUAUUGCACCGGUCUUGAAAACCGGCGUACCGCAAGGUACCGGGGGUUCGAAUCCCUCCCCCUCCGCCC